This 1445-nucleotide ribosomal RNA is filed under the name uncultured organism. RNAcentral's name for it is "SSU rRNA". It matches the Rfam family "Bacterial small subunit ribosomal RNA". The record is from RNAcentral.
UGGCUCAGGAUGAACGCUAGCUACAGGCUUAACACAUGCAAGUCGAGGGGCAUCAGGAAGAAAGCUUGCUUUCUUUGCUGGCGACCGGCGCACGGGUGAGUAACACGUAUCCAACCUGCCCUUUACUCGGGGAUAGCCUUUCGAAAGAAAGAUUAAUACCCGAUAGCAUAAUGAUUCCGCAUGGUUUCAUUAUUAAAGGAUUCCGGUAAAGGAUGGGGAUGCGUUCCAUUAGGUUGUUGGUGAGGUAACGGCCCACCAAGCCUUCGAUGGAUAGGGGUUCUGAGAGGAAGGUCCCCCACAUUGGAACUGAGACACGGUCCAAACUCCUACGGGAGGCAGCAGUGAGGAAUAUUGGUCAAUGGGCGCUAGCCUGAACCAGCCAAGUAGCGUGAAGGAUGAAGGCUCUAUGGGUCGUAAACUUCUUUUAUAUAAGAAUAAAGUGCAGUAUGUAUACUGUUUUGUAUGUAUUAUAUGAAUAAGGAUCGGCUAACUCCGUGCCAGCAGCCGCGGUAAUACGGAGGAUCCGAGCGUUAUCCGGAUUUAUUGGGUUUAAAGGGAGCGUAGGUGGACUGGUAAGUCAGUUGUGAAAGUUUGCGGCUCAACCGUAAAAUUGCAGUUGAUACUGUCAGUCUUGAGUACAGUAGAGGUGGGCGGAAUUCGUGGUGUAGCGGUGAAAUGCUUAGAUAUCACGAAGAACUCCGAUUGCGAAGGCAGCUCACUGGACUGCAACUGACACUGAUGCUCGAAAGUGUGGGUAUCAAACAGGAUUAGAUACCCUGGUAGUCCACACAGUAAACGAUGAAUACUCGCUGUUUGCGAUAUACAGUAAGCGGCCAAGCGAAAGCAUUAAGUAUUCCACCUGGGGAGUACGCCGGCAACGGUGAAACUCAAAGGAAUUGACGGGGGCCCGCACAAGCGGAGGAACAUGUGGUUUAAUUCGAUGAUACGCGAGGAACCUUACCCGGGCUUAAAUUGCAGUGGAAUGAUGUGGAAACAUGUCAGUGAGCAAUCACCGCUGUGAAGGUGCUGCAUGGUUGUCGUCAGCUCGUGCCGUGAGGUGUCGGCUUAAGUGCCAUAACGAGCGCAACCCUUAUCUUUAGUUACUAACAGGUUAUGCUGAGGACUCUAGAGAGACUGCCGUCGUAAGAUGUGAGGAAGGUGGGGAUGACGUCAAAUCAGCACGGCCCUUACGUCCGGGGCUACACACGUGUUACAAUGGGGGGUACAGAAGGCAGCUAGCGGGUGACCGUAUGCUAAUCCCAAAAUCCUCUCUCAGUUCGGAUCGAAGUCUGCAACCCGACUUCGUGAAGCUGGAUUCGCUAGUAAUCGCGCAUCAGCCACGGCGCGGUGAAUACGUUCCCGGGCCUUGUACACACCGCCCGUCAAGCCAUGGGAGCCGGGGGUACCUGAAGUACGUAACCGCAAGGAUCGUCCUAGGGUAAAAC